AUCCAACUGAUGACUUCCGAAUAGGAUGAAACGCGCGUCUUGAAU
Molecule: non-coding RNA, 45 nt
Filed under: Schistosoma haematobium
Lineage: Eukaryota; Metazoa; Platyhelminthes; Trematoda; Strigeidida; Schistosomatidae
Source: RNAcentral